This is a long non-coding RNA of Danaus plexippus (monarch butterfly), 649 nucleotides long. RefSeq lists it as uncharacterized. Lineage: Eukaryota; Metazoa; Arthropoda; Insecta; Lepidoptera; Nymphalidae. The record is from RefSeq and is a predicted model, not a curated record. The transcript has 3 exons.
UGUGAUAAACUUAUAAAAUUUAUUAAGAGCUCUUUGUAUUUGCUAGAAACAUUCCCUAUUUCAGAUUCGAAGGACACCGGGUGUCGAUAAACUCAGUUUUUAGUUAAAAUUAUCGCCUUGAACCAAGACAGUUUUUUUCUCGUCUUAAAUAAACUUUCAACAAACUUUUUUUUGGAAAAAAAAAUUUUUAAAUGUAUAUAUUUUUAAACAAGCUAAAAGGUCCUGUGUUUCGAAAAUCCUACGCUGAGUCCUGCACCCCAAAACAACGCGAUGAGAAGACAGAUAUCUAUGCCAGAUCAAAUUAAGGAGCGAAAGUUCGUUGGAUCCGAUAAGGAUUGGGAUUCCACUAAUGGAUUUCAAAUCUGUAUCCGAAGGCCUUUUUGAAGCUUACUGCAUUUACCCUCAGCUUAAAACGUCUAUUUUUCAAAAAAUCUCAGAUUCUGUUGGCUUGCAAUAAAUAAGAAUUGGUUUUUAACGACGGCGGAGUAUCCGAAGUCAUCAUUAUAAAAUUACUUACAGCUUGGGAUGAUAUUAAAGUACUAUCUGGAUAAAAUUCUAAAUGUAAUUGAAGAUUAAAUUUGAAAUGUUCUUAAUUUACUAUUUACUUUUAUUAGUUUUUGAAUGCUUAUAUUAUAUAUCUGUGACGCCU